GAGACGAUUACGAGAUCCAUGCUAUCUGUGGGGUCAACACUAAAAUACCCGACUCCCGAGGAUGACAAAUCUGGUCUCUUGUUUAACUACCACGGGUGCCCAUUCUCACAUAUCAAUGUCUGGGUGACACGGAGAGGCUCACAUCAUGCUGAUGCACCUCCGAUACUUUUAUUCGUCGAGUGUAGCAAUGACUCUGAAGACAUGAAGACCGCACCAUUUCCGUGCCUCGUAUCAGAGUCAUCAGCAGAUGCUGGUCGUUGCUUCAAUUGCGAGGAUGGUGGGACCAAAAUUGUGCAUCCUUCUUCAGGAUCAUACCGCGGGCAAAGCAGGGAUUUCCAGGACAUGGCUAGUGGAAAUCAUUCUUUGACCAACAACUAAUUGGAUUUGGGAAGCAGGGCACCGCUUACGUGGAUCUGGUUGAUAUGGUAGAUUUCGUGUAUUUUGAUCCUGCAUAUGAUGCUGAUUCCGUGGAGUUCAUCAAUUUGAUUGCUAGGGAGGGAGGAGGAGGAGGCAGAGAGGGACCAGGAGGACUUGGGUGUGGAUGCGCGCAGGAUUGACGCGCUAAUGGCAAACAUGCACCGAGACGUCUUUGGUGAUGAAGAGUGAUGCGUCUGUCUCUCUGUUUUACGGGUUGUGAAGCUUAAUUGUGAUGUGAAUCCUGAAGAUGCUGGCAAAGCAAACAUACUCUACGAGCAUCUACAAGGUGUCAAGGUUAUUAGGACUUGUAUGUGGUAUCAGACAUGGAACACCUGUAUGUAGCAGCACAUGACUCUGGAUGUCUGGAUCAUGGAACACCUGAAUCUGAAUCUCUGGACGAGCCCUGAUUUUCAUGUCCA
Long non-coding RNA from Setaria italica (foxtail millet), 836 nucleotides. RefSeq lists it as uncharacterized. The record is from RefSeq and is a predicted model, not a curated record. NCBI's taxonomy places the organism in Eukaryota, Viridiplantae, Streptophyta, Magnoliopsida, Poales, Poaceae. The transcript is spliced from 2 exons.